Long non-coding RNA from Chelonia mydas (Green sea turtle), 3687 nucleotides. RefSeq lists it as uncharacterized. Lineage: Eukaryota; Metazoa; Chordata; Testudines; Cheloniidae. The record is from RefSeq and is a predicted model, not a curated record. The transcript has 3 exons.
GAUAAAGCCCAGCUGGGAAGGUGAUAGACUCAGCAGGUGGGAAAGUUCUCUCAGCAGGGAGGCCUAGGAGAGAUCCUGAAUAACCAGGAAAGUUACUGGAAGACCAAAGGGCUGGGAAAAUAAGGAGAGGUAGCAAGUGACCUGGGAAAAACAAAGCACAAGUAAAGGAGCAGGGCUAGCUUCCUAGUGUAGGGCUCUAGGCCAGAGCCUAGAGUUGCGGGUGGAACUGGGUUCCUCUACCUGCCCCAAGGAAGGGGGCCUACAAGCCCACUGUAAGGGUUCUGAAGCCUAGCAAGGGGGCUGUAGGUUAAGCCAAAGGCAGGAUGAGGCACGGCCCCAGAGAGGGUGGAAUAAUUUCUUUUCUGUUAAAGACAUCUUUGGACUCUUAGUUUGGACAGUGGUGACCCUUGAAGGGGUGCAGGGCUGACAGAAAAAGCAAGUGAGCACUCUCCUAACGAGAGGCAGGCAGCUCUCGUCUAAUGAGAGAGUUGUGAUGCUACAAGGGGUUGUGUAGUGGUUCUCUCUGUUACAAGCCCUCGGUUACUGAUCAAUCUGGAAGGUGUUUUAAAAUAGUGUUUUAAUUAUAUAGUUUGUGCUGUCAACAAGCUUAUUUGUUACAUGUAGAGUCUAAGGUUUUUGCUGUACAGCUGAAUUACUGUAAUCCUGCAGUUAAUAAUUACCAUUGUAAAACUUCAUCAAAAAUCAGUUUUGGCUGGGACAAUCUCUCUGUCAGGAUAUGUCCUGUGUCAGUUGGCUCACUGAAUUAUUAUAAAUGCUCUGGUUUGAAACUACACAAAAAUCCGUCUGCAUUCUGAUGGAGAACAUGUUCUUCCCGUGGCAGGAGAGAGCCUUCCUUGAUGAGAAAAUCACACAGAUGGAGCAGUGUGCAUCCCACUUUCCCUAGCCAGGAGAACAGUUCCAUGAUCCGACUGUCAACAUACAUCCUACGGCAGUUACAUUGGUCACAAGCACAUGGUAUAUGCCCAUAGGCAGGAUUUGGCCCUAAAGAAAUGCACCAAGGAACACAAACUAUUUGUGCUUCCUGCCUCUGCCAGACCCACAGGAAGUUUGUCAUUAAUAAAGAUACAAGCAAGGAAUUCCAAACUCUUGGAGUCCUAGAGAAUUCCUGAAGCCUCUGGAAGCCUUCCUUUCUAAUGACUUCACUAUGGCUCCCACUUCGAUGCUUGCUUGCUUUCCAAACAAUAAGUAUUUAUUGAAUUGAGUAUGAAAAGCUUUCUGGGGGUUGAUCCUGCACCGUACAAGUUAAUGGGAAAUUACCCAUAUACUUGAAUAGGAGCAGGACCAAGCCUUGGCUACCUAACUUGUUCUGAUCACUACCAAAUCUGCAUGCACUUGCAAGAUCUGCUGAAUCGACAACUUUGAAAAAUAGAGUACAGUCUGUGCAAGUUUCCCAAACUGCCCCAUCAGCGGGCCAGUACCCUGACCUAGAGGGGCAAUCUCUAGGGGUAAGAGAACAGUUCUUUCUCCAUUGACACCACUGAUGACACUGUCCAUGAAGAUGCCAGUUCUUGAGCUGAUUUAUGUGCUGGGGACAUCAAUCCACUAGCAACAGCACUGAGAUCACUAACUCAGAAAGGCCACAAAACAGCUGUCAAAUGCUAACAACUUUCAGUCAUAAAACUUAGGCCAGAUCAGAGCCAGUGACCUAGAAGUGAAAAGCAUCAUAUCUCAUUAUUAUCCAGUCUGUCUUUUGGCUUGUUGAAAAUAUUUUCAUACAGUCAUUUGAAUGGAUGUUUGCUCUAAUACUGAACUGAUUGUUUAUUUGGAAAACGCAGCAGUAAUUUUGACCUUAUCCAUAGAGUAAAACACAGAUGCAGGAGUCCUUCAGUGUUUUCCCCCAGCAAAUGCUGAAGUAUUUUAAUUCUUCAGCAAACUUUUUCUUGCUAAAUCAUGUAACAGUCACAUGUGAUGUCAUCCAAUGUAUUAACCUCUAAGGUAAGGCUAAAUGUCAUCUUUAGUGUGUAAUCUGCUCUAUUUUUAAAAACUCCAGCACUGUUGUUUGUGUCAACACUGACAUCUUCUGGUUGCAUAUGAAACUUUACUGAAGGAAUAUUUUUUCUUAAGCAAGGCCAGUAUCCCAGAUGCAGAAGACAACAGAAUUUUGAAUAGUAAGAAACUAUAAUUGUUUUAUCUAAGCCUGCCAGUGUCUCCUGUUAUUGCAGGAAAAUAGAGCUUUGAGCUGAGGAGAUUAAUUGGUUUGAAAUACUUUAUUGCACUGCUCAAAAGAUAUUCUCUAGAUUUUUAAGGCCCAAGGGGACCAUUUAAGAUCAUCUAGUCAUACCACCUGUAUAAUGUAGGCCACAAAACUUCACCAGUUACCCUGUAUUGAGCUCAAUAACUUGUCUGACUAAAGCGUGUCAUCUAGAAAGGCAUGUUCAUACCUCAAAAGAAUUUCCACAGAAUAUGAUAAAAUAGGCCUAGUAGUAGAGUUGGGCAGAGGAUGGAAAUUCCACUUUGCAAAGGGAGUUGGGGAUUUUGAAAAUUUCACUUCAUUUCAAAUUGGAACAAAACCUGAACAUUUUAGAAUUCUCCCAGAUGCAAAACUCAAAUUGUUUUGAUUUUUAACUUUUUUAUUCUAUUAUACUGUAUUACAAAAUAAAAACAAUUAAAAAUGAAACAUUACUUCCAAAUGAAAAAUUGAAACAUUUUUCAUUCUGAAAAUGUCAACACAGGAAGUUUUGACAUUGUCAGGACUUUUUUUUCUUUCUCCAAAACUGAAUUUCUGAGAAACUGACCAAUUUCGAGAAGCAUGUCCAUUUCAAUGGAACUGUCCCUUUUCUGGCAGAAAAUAGUUCCAUCCAGGUUUUUUUCUGACCAGCUCUACUUAGCUACUUAAUAAUACUCAAUAUAUUUAGCUGAGAUCUUGCUCGCAGAUCAGGUUGUGUCUUGUAGCAAAAUGAAGCUCAGGACUAAAACUUCAAAAAAGAAAUAGUUAAGGAAGAAGCUACAGGUUUCUAGAGUUACGCAAGAACACACACAACUGGAAAGGAGACAUGGGUAGCCAUUGGAGAGGGGGUUCUGUCAGAAAAUAUAAGGGAAGAAAAUCACUCUGUUCACACCCGGCAUUUAUAAUAUAUUGCAGCUUGACACACUUAGAGAUGUGUCAGCCCCUCCUCUGCUCUUACUCCCAUCUAGUUACUGCAGAGCAGUGCCCACACAUGGGAGGGAUUGGCAGGUCACCAGGCCACCCACAGCUAAGAUGGCCUCAUUGGGUGGGCUCUUUUGAUCUACGUGAUGGGGAGCAGACGACGAGAUGUGCUGAGAGGGGUGGAAGCAAUGCAGGCAAACUUCAAAUGCUGCUGUCAACAGCUCUGGCUGUAAAGAAACAUUGUGGGGAGAGGAUUGAUAAUGCUGCAUUGAGGAUAUGCUGCAAAAUUUGACCCUUUCAGACUUCUAAAGUGGGUAUUUGGGAUUCUGAACUCUCUUCUAGCUAGGUAAUAUAGCCUAUAAUCAUUCCUAUCACUGUAGCAUCUUAUCUUCAUAGAGUAUAACUACAAUAAAUUACUGUCUUUGCUUUGUUUGAAACCACAAAGUUCAUGCAAAGGUGAAAACUAAGUCUCUCAGAUAUUUUAGGUAGCACAAAAUUAGGGCCUGAUCUAAAGCCUAUCAAAGUCAAUGGAAAUGUUCCCAUCAACUUCAGUGGACUUUAGCUUGACCCUCUAUAGA